GAGCAAAUAAAGAUCAAAACUUAUAUACUCGAUAAACAUAAGAUUAUGUUGAAUCCUUAAUUCUUAAUGACUUCAAAGUUCUUUCAUGAUAUAAAAGUAUUGGGGCAUAGAUACCAAAACAUGAAUUUAUGCAGUGUAGGAUACAUAAAAUUCAAGGCUUUGAAAGUUCUUUUAGAGCUCUCUUAAAGACUUUCUUUUACUCCUUUAAAGAUCAUAGCAUCAAAUCAAUUAAAAUGAAUUGGCUCAGGAUUGAAACACUAAAGUGCAAGCCAAUAAGAACUCAUAAGUAAAUUCCAAGAUAAAUUUUCGAAACUAAGACAGAUGGAAUCCUUUUCAAUUAAUUUUCAGAAAUAAAUGAUUUACCGAUGAAUACAGAUGGAAAUCCAACUUUCAAAAGAUAUUCAAUGAAGCACAAAGUUUAAUACCACUUUACAUUUAGUAUUCUUUAUCUCAUCUUUAGAUACGAAUUUAUACGAUUAAGUUCUAUAUGA
RNAcentral lists this long non-coding RNA (491 nucleotides) under Phoenix dactylifera (date palm). RNAcentral describes it as "long non-coding RNA (PDAC_LNC022450)". The record is from RNAcentral. Lineage: Eukaryota; Viridiplantae; Streptophyta; Magnoliopsida; Arecales; Arecaceae.